GAUGAACGCUCGCUACAGGCUUAACACAUGCAAGUCGCGGGGCAGCAUGGGGGUUGCUUGCAAUCCCCGAUGGCGACCGGCGCACGGGUAAGUAACGCGUAUCCAACCUGCCCUUCACCACGGGAUAACCCGGCGAAAGUCGGACUAAUACCGUAUGUUGUCCAUUGACGGCAUCCGAUUUGGACGAAAGGUUUGGCGGUGAAGGAUGGGGAUGCGUCCGAUUAGCUGGACGGCGGGGUGACGGCCCACCGUGGCGACGAUCGGUAGGGGUUCUGAGAGGAAGGUCCCCCACACUGGAACUGAGACACGGUCCAGACUCCUACGGGAGGCAGCAGUGAGGAAUAUUGGUCAAUGGGCGUAAGCCUGAACCAGCCAAGUAGCGUGCAGGAUGACGGCCCUAUGGGUUGUAAACUGCUUUUAUGCGGGGAUAAAGUGGCCCACGCGUGGGUUUUUGCAGGUACCGCAUGAAUAAGGACCGGCUAAUUCCGUG
This 490-nucleotide ribosomal RNA is filed under the name uncultured bacterium. RNAcentral's name for it is "partial 16S ribosomal RNA". It matches the Rfam family "Bacterial small subunit ribosomal RNA", at positions 28 to 507 of the family's 1533-position model. The record is from RNAcentral.